UACGGAGGGGGCUAGCGUUGCUCGGAAUCACUGGGCGUAAAGGGCGCGUAGGCGGCUGUUCAAGUCGGGGGUGAAAGCCUGUGGCUCAACCACAGAAUUGCCUUCGAUACUGGACGGCUCGAGACCGGAAGAGGUCAGUGGAACUGCGAGUGUAGAGGUGAAAUUCGUAGAUAUUCGCAAGAACACCAGUGGCGAAGGCGGCUGACUGGUCCGGUUCUGACGCUGAGGUGCGAAAGCGUGGGGAGCAAACAGG
RNAcentral lists this ribosomal RNA (253 nucleotides) under uncultured bacterium. RNAcentral's name for it is "partial 16S ribosomal RNA". It matches the Rfam family "Bacterial small subunit ribosomal RNA", at positions 524 to 776 of the family's 1533-position model. The record is from RNAcentral.